AACGAACGCUGGCGGCAGGCCUAACACAUGCAAGUCGAACGGACGUAGCAAUACGUUAGUGGCGCACGGGAGAGUAACGCGUGGGAACCUACCUUUUGGUUCGGGAUAACAUCGGGAAACUGGUGCUAAUACCGGAUAAGCCCUUCGGGGGAAAGAUUUAUUGCCGAAAGAUGGGCCCGCGUUGGAUUAGCUAGUUGGUGAGGUAAUGGCUUACCAAGGCAACGAUCCAUAGCUGGUCUGAGAGGAUGAUCAGCAUCACUGGGACUGAGACACGGCCCAGACACCUAAGGGAGGCAGCAGUGGGGAAUAUUGGACAAUGGGGGAAACACUGAGCCAGCAGGCCGCGUGAAUGAUGAAGGCCUUCGGGUUGGAAAGUUCUUUUGGUGUGGACGAUGAUGACGGUACCCACAGAAUAAGCUCCGGCUAACUUCGUGCCAGCCGCCGCGGUAA
RNAcentral lists this ribosomal RNA (450 nucleotides) under uncultured bacterium. Its description in RNAcentral is "partial 16S ribosomal RNA". It matches the Rfam family "Bacterial small subunit ribosomal RNA", at positions 29 to 523 of the family's 1533-position model. The record is from RNAcentral.